CAGCAACGCGUGGGGGAGGCUGCCUCGGCCUCCGGGGCACUCCUCAUUGGCCCUGGCCACCCCACCCUGUCUCCUCAAACACUGCCCCUGUGCGACCUAGACGCGCAGCGGGGCCUGGAUCAGGGUCACAGUGAGCACGCACCAGCCCUCCCCUGGGGGCCCUGGAGGGCUGGUGGGCUCAGGGCCCAGCUGUGAACUCUGGGGUGUCCCCAGCCCCCAGCAUGUGCAGCAGGCUCCUGCCCAAGGAGCAUCCUUAGUAAAUGGGGCUCAGGCUGCAGAGUGUGCAGCCUGCGGCAGGACCCUGUCCCCGCUGGCGUGGCACACCUUUUAGGCGGGUCUCUGCAGUUAGCCGUCACAGCAAAGCACCCUGAACCCUGAGGCAGUCAAGGGGGCCGAUAUUGAGGAGCUGGGCCCCUCCCGAUGCUCCAGGGCAGAGGCUAGACACGGGCCCACGUUCCCUACUGGCUCAGGACUUAAGAAGGUAGGGGGUGGGAUUCACAGGCUAGACUUCGGGGGUCUUACAGUUCUGCACUGAUGAGGGUUUUCAUCCUGAACCCGUUUCUGGAAGCCUGGAUACAUCCUGCUGUGUGUGUGUGUCCCGGGGUGACUGGUGCUGAUGACAGCGGUCUGCGGGCCGAUGAGAGGUCUGUGAACCAAGGUGAUGGGGAUGACAGGGACAGCGAGGACAGUGAGGACGGCGAGCCCCCUUGCGCUGUGAUCCCCGUGCACCCAGAUGCCUGCCUGCUCCCGGAUGACACUCUUUGCGCUUUCACUGUGGUUGAUGACAUGCUUGUCACCCUGGCACAGGGCCCUGCCCGGUGGAAGGUACAGCUGUCUGAGUGCCCCUGUCCAGGGGAGGGCGCCAGACCCAGAGGCCACAUUGGCGAGGUGGAGUUGUCCACCUCCAGCCCCCUGGCUGGGGCCCCCGGGGAGCCCGCAGCCCCCCGCAUCCUCCCAGUGCUGUGCUGUGCGUCUCCUCCGGGCAGUAGUGCUCUGCAGACCCGUACGCGGGGCUCCAGGGGCUUCUCGCUGGAACAGGCCCUCUUUGGGCUACUCUUUGGAGUUGAUGCCUCCCUUCUAGAAUCACCAGUGAUCCUCUGUGGUCUCCCCGAUGGCCAGCUCUGCUGUGUGGUCUUGAAGACCCUGGUCACCUCAAGGUUGUCCCCAGGCGACCCGAAGGCCCUUGUCAAGAUCCUCCAUCACCUGGAGGAACCCGUCGUUCUCAUUGGGGCCUUGAAGACAGAGUCGUUGCCCGAGGACGCGGAGGACACACACCCUGACUGCCUAGUGGCACUUGGUCACGGUGGCCGGAUCCUGGCCAUUAAGGCCAGCUGGGACAAGGCAGGGACUCUGGUCCCAGAGCUACAGGAGUACCAGCUGCCGGGGCCUGUGCUCUGUGCGGUCUGUGGCGGGGGGGGCUGUGUGUACCAUAGCACCCCCUCGGAGCUCUGUGUCGUGGACCUGGCUCGGGGACGUGCCCCCGAGGGGGGCCCGGGAGGCCUGCCGUCUCUGCUGUGUCCAGCUGGUUUAGGCAUCUGCAGCGUCGUCACCCUCUCUGUGUCCUCCGAGGUGCCCGAAGGUGGUGCCAGGCUCCUGGCCCUGUCCGCCAGGGGCCGCCUGAUGACCUGCAGCCUGGACCUGCGCUCUGAGGUGCCGUGCCCCACCAGAGCUGCUAUGGCUGAUACUGGCCAAAAGAUUAAGGAAUUGCUUUCUGGAAUCGGCACCGUCUCUGAGAGAGUGUCUUCUCUGAAGAAGGCAGUUGACCAGCGGAACAAGGCCCUGACGUGCCUCAACGAAGCGAUGAACGUGAGCUGCGUCCUGCUGGCCGGCCGGGAGGGCGCCAGGCCCAUCUCGUGCACCACCACCACCGCCUGGAGCCGCCUGCAGCCGCAGGACGUGCUGACGGCCACCUGCCGGCUGGAGAACAACAGUGGCCUCAGUCUGGACCGGGGCUGGGCCUUGUGCGUGCAGGUGCUGACCACCCCCGCCUCGGACCCAGACGCGGCUGGCUCGGCCACCACCUACACCAUCCCCGUGGACCGGCUGGGCCCUGGCGAUCGGCGGGAGGUGACGCUGCCCCUGGGCCCUGGGGAGGAUGGCGCCCUGGACCUGCCCCUGACCGUGUCCUGCGCACUACACUACAGCCUCAGGGAGGUUGUGGGCGGGGCCCUCGCCCCCUCGGAGUCUUUCACGGACCCCUCUCUGGAUGAGUGCCUCUCUGACGUCUUGCCUGAGCAGGACGGCAUCUGCCUGCCCCUGAGCGAGCACACUGUGGACAUGCUGCAGUGUCUGUGCUUUCCUGGCCUGGCCACACCCCACACGCAGGCCCCCGGGCUGCUCGGCCCCGUGAGCGACUCUGUGGACACCUUCUUGGGAUCUCUCGGGCCACGCAGCGAGCCGGCGGGACCUGCUUCCCUGCGGGCCAAGUUCCUGCCCCCAUCGGUGGCCACGAUCAAGGUGUCCGCAGAGCUUCUGAGGGCCGCCUUGGGGGACAGUCACGCAGCAGGCACGUCCCUGGGCUGUGCCACCCUGCAGUGGCUCCUCGCUGAGAACACGGCCCUGGAUGUCGUGCGGGCCCGACGGCUGUCCUCGGUCCAGGGAGUGGCCCCAGAUGGCACUGACCUGCACCUUACCAUCCGAGAGGUGACUGUGACCCACCUGUGCACAGCAGGGCCCAUGCAGACCGUGGAGAUCCAGGUGGAGAGCUCCUCUCUGUCUAGCUUGUGCAGUGCACACCACGCGGUCAUCGGGCGGCUGCAGAGGAUGGUUGUGGAGCACGCUGCCCAGAGCUCCAGCCCACCUGACCUCCGUGUGCAGUGUCUCCGCCAGAUCCAUAUCAACCACGAGACACUGCUGCAGGAGGUGCGGGCCCUUCGGGACCGGCUGUGCACGGAGGACGAAGCCAGCUCCUGUGGCACUGCCGAGAGGCUCCUGCAGGUGUACGGGCAGCUCCGGAGCCCCAGCCUCCUCCUGCUGUGACGCCUCGUGGGCCCCGCGCCCGCCCCCGCCACAAGCCAGGCGCCCCCGUGGCUUUACGGAGACAAGCCCAGGGCACCAGAGGCUGCUUCCCGCCGCCUGACCCUGGCUGUGGCUGUGGGGUGGGGGAAGGCAGCCGCCCACGGCUCCCGCGGCACCUGGUCGAGCUGGGCAGUCUGGCCUGGAGCACUGGGGCUGGAUCAGCGGCCUCCCCUCCCCGCAGAAGUCGGGCCGCGGACAAGGUUUCUGGGGUCGGGACUUGCGGGUUUGCGUCUCUGACUGUUGCUGUUCCCACCGCCCCGCUGCCCGCCCACCCACGCCCACCACGCGCAGACCCCUUCGUCCCCCUCGGGGCCCCUCAGCCCUGCGUCUGUGCUGCUGCUGAGGCCACCAGCUGGGACGCCGCUCCCUGUGGCUCCCACCCUCACCCGGUAGGUGCUCCCAGCCGGGGCUGCGCCCAGCGCCCAGCGCCCAGCACUGUGCAUUGUUUCCAGGGCCCCUCACGGUGGGCUGCAGCCCCCCAGCUGCCUCCCUCCGGUGCUGGCGCAGCUAGCAGUGGGGGGCUGACCCCCGUUCGGACUUGACAUGGUGCCGUUGUGCGCGUGCGGGAGGCGCGAGGCUCCUCUGCCGCAGAACAAGUGUGCUCUCGGGCCGAGCUGCCUCGGCUUCUGGGUGUGUGUGUGUUUGGGGCGGCAGCUCUGAGCUGCAUUUCUGGGCCCCCCCAGGGGUAUGCUCGGAUGAACCUUGCCUUGGUCUUUCCGUGGUCGUGGGGGCUGGUAGGGGGUCUCCCAGCACUGGGGCGAAGUGCCCACCUGGCCUGCGGGGCACGCGAGUCCCUCGUCCCCAAGGAGGGAGGGGCCAGUGGGGAGUCCGGGUCCGAGUCGGGAGAGUGGGCGGCCGCCACACAGCUUGCACGCUGGAGAUUGGGCGGUGGUGGGCACGGCUGCGGGGUGUGGGCCGAGCAGCACUGGAAGCACGUCCCCAGCCCGGGGCUUCACUGCCCCUGGGCCCCACCGUCCCGCUCCCCACACGGGCAGCCUCGCUCCUGCCUCCUGCCGACAGGAUAACCCUGGAGAGGUGUGAGCACGGGUCCUCCCGGGGCGGAGACACAGCAGUGGGGAGGGGCGCUCCCCCUGCCUGCUGGCAGGAGGCCGCUGGUGGGGCGGGGUGGGGGCAGGGCAGUCACUGGGGGCCCGCCACCUAGUCUCCAGAAAAGGAGACCCAUGACCCGGACACCUAAGCAGCUGAGAGGAGAUAAAGUGGAAUCUUGUGAAACCUCCGUGAAUGAGGGGAGACGGGUGGGGGGUAAGGACAAAUGGGACACAGGCCGGAGCUUCCCUGGGAGCCUCGUGCUGGGGUGCCCGGUCAGCGCCCCAUCGGGGACGGGACGCCACACUGAGCACCAGGGGUCCCUCAGCCAGCCUCUGCUGCGCGUGGCUCACCAUCCCCCACACAGCUCCGGCCCGCCAGAGGAUGGCCUCCGCGCAGUCCCAGCCUCUCUCCUCCCACCCCAGCUGGCCCCUCUGGGGACCCCUGGGGCACGCCUCCCUGCCUCCACUCCCCUGCUCAGCAAGGGUCUGAGGCCAAGUGCACCCUCUGGCAGAGGUCAGCAGAGGGGAGUCCUCACACUGAUGACUGGCGGCAAGCCCUGGGCGGGUGAGCCCCCAACCCUCCCGCCCUGGGCGCCACUAGGGGGCAGCACAGGCUGUGGCUCAGGCAGCCACCUGUCCCCUCUGCAGCCUCUGGGCUCUGGUGUCUGGUCCUCGAAGGGUUAACUAAGCCCCCCUUGACCAGGGGGCCCACUUGGGUCCAGCUCCUCUGUCCUUAAGGUGGGGGUGGGGGGUGGGCAGUGAGGUCAGGAGCAGGCGCGGCUGAGGAGGGUGCUGGGGAGAGGCUGGGGGGGGGGGGGGGGUCCCUUCCUCCCCACUCUGAUUGUGCACAUCCGCUCUGCACUCCCUUCCUCGCACGCUCUUCCCAAAGCGCCCCAGUCCCGGCUGGACCACGCUGGCUGGCUGGACUCACUGGAGGCGGUUUUCAGGCCCCAGGCACGGGGAGGGACUUGGGCUUAGGGACCGGGCAUCUGGUCUCAUCCUCCCUUCAGGCCCUAGGCCACAUGGCCGUGUCCUGACCCCUCCCCCAGCCCCCAGGUUCCACGUCUCCCACUCGGCUCUCUGAUGGCCUGGGUCACCCAGCCCAGCCAAGAGGCACUGGCCUGGGUGGGGGUCUUUGGGGGCUGGGAGUGCCUGGAUGCCAGCUGGUGGACCACAGACCUUAUCUUGGCAUCCAGCCUGCUUGGGGCAAGGUGGGUGGGGGCUCUCCGGGGUCUGCGGCUGGGGGGGUGAGAGCCACGCGUGGGGUGGGAGUGGGAGACCUGGAGCUUCCUGUCUGGGCUGAGAGGGGCCUUCUCCCCGGGGUUGGCCACUCACACCGUGUUUGGGAGGGGUGGGGUCGCUUUCGCCUCAGGUGCGCGGGGGAUUCCCUAAGACCCUGCCCCUGGGGCGGAGAGCCAUGGGGGGUACGUCACCCCCAGACCCUGUGAGCGGCUCCCCCCACCCCAGUUCCGCUCGGUCUCCGGGAGCAGCUGUGUGGCGCCCGCACAGGGCGGGGGCGGGGCCCAGGGGGUGCCGGGGUGCCCCUGCCCAGGAAGGGACGGGGUGGGGCGGGGGUGUCCGCCCGCUGGACCCGCCUCCCGGCCACGCUCGCCUGCGCUGGGUGUCCUGCGCUGAGGGAUGGGGAGGUGGAGGGCCACGGCCGGGACCCCCAGGGCAGAGGCGCUGGCCCUCCCCGCGCGAGCGGCGCCACGGAGCCCGCCAGCCGCUGCGUCACAGACACGGUUUAAUGGGGGGACGGGCGCGCCACCCGCUCAGUACUCCCAGAGCGCGACCCCGGCCGGCGUGUCCGCGUCCGCGCGCAGCAGCCCGGAGGCGCCUCCGCGCAGGUACUUGCCGCUCCCCGCGCGGAUGGCCAGGCGUCCGCGCUCGCGGAAC
This is a non-coding RNA of Leptonychotes weddellii (Weddell seal), 5963 nucleotides long. The record is from RefSeq and is a predicted model, not a curated record. Lineage: Eukaryota; Metazoa; Chordata; Mammalia; Carnivora; Phocidae.